Molecule: ribosomal RNA, 794 nt
Filed under: Lecidella greenii
Lineage: Eukaryota; Fungi; Ascomycota; Lecanoromycetes; Lecanorales; Lecanoraceae
Description: eukaryotic LSU rRNA
Rfam family: 5.8S ribosomal RNA (bases 474-627)
Source: RNAcentral
GGAAGUAAAAGUCGUAACAAGGUUUCCGUAGGUGGUUUGCCUGUCGGAUUCCCCCGCAGCGACUCUAAAGAACUGCGCCAGUCGGGCUUCACCUCAGAGCCUGGCGACGCCAUCAGUCUGGCUGGGAGCCCCCUACGCGGGGGCUACCAGCAGCUCCUUCGGGAGUCCACAGAUCAAACGAUGAGCGGCCGCAACACUGCGGUUCAGAUAUGACCGGCCCCAGCCUUCAUCGGCUGGUGACUUCUUGCGGAACCUGCGGAAGGAUCAUUAAUGAGAGAGGGGUUUCGCGCUCCGGCGGCUUCGCGGCCGCCAACUCUUCACCCUGUGUCUAAUCUACCUAUGUUGCUUUGGCGGGCCCUGGGGGUCACCCCACGCCAACCGUGGGCUUUGCGGCCCGGGUCGGUCAGCGCCCGUCAAAGGCCCUGUAUCAACUCUGUUUAUCAGUGAUGUCCGAGUACAAAUAUAAUAAUCAAAACUUUCAACAACGGAUCUCUUGGUUCUGGCAUCGAUGAAGAACGCAGCGAAAUGCGAUAAGUAAUGUGAAUUGCAGAAUUCAGUGAAUCAUCGAAUCUUUGAACGCACAUUGCGCCCCUCGGUAUUCCGGGGGGCAUGCCUGUUCGAGCGUCAUUGCACCCCUCAAGCGUAGCUUGGUGUUGGGCUCUCGCCCCCGCGGCGGGCCCGAAAGUCAGUGGCGGUCCGGAGCGACUUCGAGCGUAGUAAAUUUUCUCCCGCUUUGGAAGCUCGCCCCGUGGCCGGCCAAAACGGCCAACUUCAAUGAUGACCUCGGAUCAGGU